RNAcentral lists this ribosomal RNA (248 nucleotides) under uncultured bacterium. RNAcentral describes it as "partial small subunit ribosomal RNA". It matches the Rfam family "Bacterial small subunit ribosomal RNA", at positions 26 to 285 of the family's 1533-position model. The record is from RNAcentral.
AGGACGAACGCUUGCGACGUGCAUAAGAAAUGCAAGUCGAACGGGGUAGCAAUACCUAGUGACGAACGGUCGCGUAACACGUGGGCAACCUGCCCUGAAGCGGGGGACAACAACUCGAAAGAGUUGCUAAUACCGCAUGUGGAUCGCUCUGGCAUCAGAGAUUAUCCAAAGCCUUCGGGCACUUCAGGAUGGGCCCGCGGCCUAUCAGCUUGUUGGUGGGUAAUGGCCUACCAAGGCGACGACGGGUA